RNAcentral lists this small RNA (346 nucleotides) under Arabidopsis thaliana (thale cress). RNAcentral's name for it is "ATSL286800". Lineage: Eukaryota; Viridiplantae; Streptophyta; Magnoliopsida; Brassicales; Brassicaceae. The record is from RNAcentral.
UAAAAUAUUAUUAAAACAAAAAUAACAAAAUAAUGUCUAAUUUUACUGAACGGGGUUAGUGGUAGGACGAGUUUGGUCGAUAGUAUUACGAGACGGUAUACCACAAGUGAAAUCCAUUAGAUAUGUUUAAUUUCACUGUGGAGGAUUAGAUGGUAUGACGGGUUUUGAUCGAUAAUAAUACGAAACGAUAUACUACGGAUAAAAUCCUAGAUAUAACAAUUAAAAUCUAUAUACACAUUAUUUUAAACACUAAACAAAGCAAACAAUAUUAAUAAAACGAAUAUCUACAUAUAUAUUUUAUUCCGCGGGUCAAAAUCUAGUAGCUGGAUGAAAUGGUGUUUAUAUA